RNAcentral lists this ribosomal RNA (451 nucleotides) under uncultured bacterium. RNAcentral's name for it is "bacterial SSU rRNA". It matches the Rfam family "Bacterial small subunit ribosomal RNA", at positions 29 to 524 of the family's 1533-position model. The record is from RNAcentral.
AGCGAACGCUGGCGGCAGGCCUAACACAUGCAAGUCGAGCGCUCGUAGCAAUACGAGAGCGGCAGACGGGAGAGUAACACGUGGGAACGUACCCUUUGGUUCGGAACAACACAGGGAAACUUGUGCUAAUACCGAAUAAGCCCUUACGGGGAAAGAUUUAUCGCCAAAGGAUCGGCCCGCGUCUGAUUAGCUAGUUGGUGAGGUAACGGCUCACCAAGGCGACGAUCAGUAGCUGGUCGAGAGGAUGAUCAGCCACAUUGGGACUGAGACACGGCCCAAACUCCUACGGGAGGCAGCAGUGGGGAAUAUUGGACAAUGGGCGCAAGCCUGAUCCAGCCAUGCCGCGUGAGUGAUGAAGGCCUUAGGGUUGUAAAGCUCUUUUACCUGGGAAGAUAAUGACGGUACCAGGAGAAUAAGCCCCGGCUAACUUCGUGCCAGCCGCCGCCGUAAU